CACGGGGGGAGCAAGGCGUUGUUCGGAAUCACUGGGCGUAAAGGGCGUGUAGGCGGUCAUGUAAGUGGGAUGUGAAAGCCCUCGGCUCACCCGAGGAUCUGCAUCUCAAACUGCAAUGGCUUGAGUAUGGGAGAGGAUGUGGGAAUUCCUGGUGUAGCGGUGAAAUGCGUAGAUAUCAGGAGGAACACCGGUGGCGAAGGCGCUCAUCUGGCCCAAUACUGACGCUGGAGGCGCGAAAGCUAGGGGAGCAAACGGG
This 256-nucleotide ribosomal RNA is filed under the name uncultured bacterium. RNAcentral describes it as "partial 16S ribosomal RNA". It matches the Rfam family "Bacterial small subunit ribosomal RNA", at positions 524 to 776 of the family's 1533-position model. The record is from RNAcentral.